Molecule: ribosomal RNA, 472 nt
Filed under: uncultured bacterium
Lineage: Bacteria
Description: bacterial SSU rRNA
Rfam family: Bacterial small subunit ribosomal RNA
Source: RNAcentral
CUACGCACUCCUACGGGGAGGCAGCAGUGGGGAAUAUUGCACAAUGGGCGCAAGCCUGAUGCAGCCAUGCCGCGUGUAUGAAGAAGGCCUUCGGGUUGUAAAGUACUUUCAGCAGUGAGGAAGGUGGGUAUGUUAAUAGCAUACUCAUUUGACGUUAGCUGCAGAAGAAGCACCGGCUAACUCCGUGCCAGCAGCCGCGGUAAUACGGAGGGUGCGAGCGUUAAUCGGAAUUACUGGGCGUAAAGCGCAUGCAGGUGGUUUGUUAAGUCAGAUGUGAAAGCCCGGGGCUCAACCUCGGAAUUGCAUUUGAAACUGGCAAACUAGAGUACUGUAGAGGGGGUAGAAUUUCAGGUGUAGCGGUGAAAUGCGUAGAGAUCUGAAGGAAUACCGGUGGCGAAGGCGGCCCCCUGGACAGAUACUGACACUCAGAUGCGAAAGCGUGGGGAGCAAACAGGAUUAGAUACCCUGGUAG